UGGGGAAUAUUGCACAAUGGGCGAAAGCCUGAUGCAGCAACGCCGCGUGAGCGAUGAAGGCCUUCGGGUCGUAAAGCUCUGUCCUCAAGGAAGAUAAUGACGUACUUGAGGAGGAAGCCCCGGCUAACUACGUGCCAGCAGCCGCGGUAAUACGUAGGGGGCUAGCGGUAUCCGGGAUUACUGGGCGGAAAGGGUGCGUAGGUGGUUUUUUAAGUCAGAAGUGAAAGGCUACGGCUCAACCGUAGUAAGCUUUUGAAACUAAAGAACGUGAGUGCAGGAGAGGAGAGUAGAAUUCCUAGUGUAGCGGUGAAAUGCGUAGAUAUUAGGAGGAAUACCAGUAGCGAAGGCGGCUCUCUGGACUGUAACUGACACUGAGGCACGAAAGCGUGGGGAGCAAACA
This 400-nucleotide ribosomal RNA is filed under the name uncultured bacterium. RNAcentral's name for it is "bacterial SSU rRNA". It matches the Rfam family "Bacterial small subunit ribosomal RNA", at positions 355 to 774 of the family's 1533-position model. The record is from RNAcentral.